CUGGUCUUGACAUCCACGGAAGUUUUCAGAGAUGAGAAUGUGCCUUCGGGAACCGUGAGACAGGUGCUGCAUGGCUGUCGUCAGCUCGUGUUGUGAAAUGUUGGGUUAAGUCCCGCAACGAGCGCAACCCUUGUCUCUAGUUGCUACGAAAGGGCACUCUAGAGAGACUGCCGGUGACAAACCGGAGGAAGGUGGGGAUGACGUCAAGUCCUCAUGGCCCUUAUAGGUGGGGCUACACACGUCAUACAAUGGCUGGUACGAAGGGUUGCCAACCCGCGAGGGGGAGCUAAUCCCAGAAAACGCAUCGUAGUCCGGAUCGUAGUCUGCAACUCGACUACGUGAAGCUGGAAUCGCUAGUAAUCGCGGAUCAGCAUGCCGCGGUGAAUACGUUCCC
Molecule: ribosomal RNA, 394 nt
Filed under: uncultured bacterium
Lineage: Bacteria
Description: bacterial SSU rRNA
Rfam family: Bacterial small subunit ribosomal RNA
Source: RNAcentral